UCCAAGACUUUUUAUUUUCAUCAUCACUGUAUCAAAUUUUUUUUCUUUAUUUUUUCAUAGUUCAUCAUCACUGCACUCCUUCUUCUUUUCUUUGUUCACUUGUUCAGGAAUCUCACCAAAAGACUUGAGACUUUUUCAAACUCUCCAAGAUUUUUUACUUUCAUCAUCAUUAUAUCAGUUCUUCUUCUUCUUCUUCUUCUUCUUCUUCU
Molecule: long non-coding RNA, 209 nt
Filed under: Trifolium pratense (red clover)
Lineage: Eukaryota; Viridiplantae; Streptophyta; Magnoliopsida; Fabales; Fabaceae
Description: long non-coding RNA (TPRA_LNC007821)
Source: RNAcentral